Molecule: non-coding RNA, 644 nt
Filed under: Pongo abelii (Sumatran orangutan)
Lineage: Eukaryota; Metazoa; Chordata; Mammalia; Primates; Hominidae
Source: RNAcentral
AAGCUGCGAAGAUGGCGGAGUAAGGCCUGCCGCUGUAAACUGGCCUCUGGGCCGGGGGCGCACAGCCCCCGGGAGGCCGAGUGCAUCUGUUGGACCGUGCUAGGAGAAGAAAAAAAAGAGAUCGGCCAGAGGAAAGGAACUAACCGAACAUUCUUCCUCCCUACCUUACAGAGGGGAGUGGUCAUCUAUACUAAAGCAAAGUGUCAUGCGCGUCUGUGCGAAGAGACCACCAAACAGGCUUUGUGUUCCUUAUCACAGGAAGAAAAUUUUCCUUGACCUUUAGGUGCUUUUAUAUUCAUCUCAAAAACAAAAUUCUGAACUCAGGACUUGGCAAAGUUUUGCUCUUGCCGCCUAGGCUGAAGUGCAAUGGCGCAAUCUCGGCUCACUGCAACCUCCACCUCCCGGGUUCAAGCGAUUCUCCUGCCUCAGCCUCCUGAGUAGCUGACAUUAUAGGCGCCUGCCACCACACCCAGCUUAUUUUUGUAUUUUUAGUAGAGAUGGGGUUUCACCAUAUUGGGCAGGCUCGUCUUGAACUCCUGACCUCGUGAUCCGCCCACCUCGGCCUCCCAAAGUGCUGAGAUUGGAGGUGUGAGCCACCGCACCUGGCCAGUGUGUCCUUUCUUAAUUGACAGUGACAUUAUAUC